GACGUAGGGCGUGAGCGUUGUCCGGAUUUAUUGGGCGUAAAGAGCUCGUAGGCGGCUCGUUGCGUCGGCUGUGAAAACCCGCAGCUCAACUGUGGGCUUGCAGCCGAUACGGGCGGGCUAGAAUUCGGUAGGGGAGACUGGAAUUCCUGGUGUAGCGGUGAAAUGCGCAGAUAUCAGGAGGAACACCGGUGGCGAAGGCGGGUCUCUGGGCCGAUAUUGACGCUGAGGAGCGAAAGCGUGGGGAGCGAACAGG
Molecule: ribosomal RNA, 253 nt
Filed under: uncultured bacterium
Lineage: Bacteria
Description: partial 16S ribosomal RNA
Rfam family: Bacterial small subunit ribosomal RNA
Source: RNAcentral